Camellia sinensis is the source of this 2486-nucleotide non-coding RNA. Lineage: Eukaryota; Viridiplantae; Streptophyta; Magnoliopsida; Ericales; Theaceae. The record is from RefSeq and is a predicted model, not a curated record.
UUGGGGCAAGAUUAGUAGUUCAAUCAUUGAACUGAAUUGAAGUAUAAUGUCAUAAUUAUAUUUUAAAUAUAUUAAUAAUUAUGCAUAAUAAAAUAUAUCUAUUAAAUUACAAAAUGUAUACUUUCAUAAUCAAUUUAUAUUUAUUUCAAGAUUUGGAUUGCUUUUACCCCAUGGUCAUGUAAAAUGUGUUUCUAUGUUCCCAAGUAAUAGACCUCUGGAUUGCUUUUACGAGGUAUCGUGUGUACACAUUUAAAAUCAAAAUUUAUUUUGCGUUUAAUUUGUUGAGUCUCUGCCCAACUUCUGGGGUUUAUACUGCCACAAAAUGGUCAUUUUAUUUGCUAUGUAGUCACAUAAAUGCAGUCAGUGUUUCAAUUCCACAAUUUGUAACAUAUUAAUUCAGGUCUCAAAAUGGUCAAUGUAUACCCUGGAUUUGAACUGAUUCUUCAUAUAAGGGCUGGUAGCAGGAUUUUGAUGCUUUCUACAACUAAUAUACGCCGUUCCGGGCUCUGUGGUUGUCUGGUGAUGUUUUAAUUACUAAGAGUAUUCUUAUAUACUUUUCCCAUUGUUUCUGAUGCAGGAACCAUAAAUCUGUAAUGGUUAUCAGACGUAAUCAGGUUGUUGGUGGCAUAACAUACCGUCCUUAUGUGAGCCAAAUGUUUGGGGAGAUAGCAUUUUGUGCAAUCACAGCAGAUGAACAAGUAAAAGGUUAUGGCACGAGACUGAUGAAUCACUUAAAGCAGCAUGCUCGUGACGUUGACAGGCUAACUCAUUUUCUGACUUACGCUGACAAUAAUGCCGUUGGUUAUUUCAUUAAACAGGAUUGGUCCUUUUUGUUCCCUUUUGGAUUGUGGUUUUCAUGUAUAUGGGGAUUUCACUUGUUCAGUUCACGAUCAAUUUGAGAGGCACAAAAAAGUUGUUUUAUAAGAUUUUGUUUGUAUAUUCUCAUUGUAAAGAUGGUAAGAUUAACCCUGCAUGAAAUUUGCUCUGUUAAAAAGAUGAGAGGGAGUGUCUAUCUACAAACUACUAGGAAGCCUGCCUUCGAAAGUAAUUUGUGAAUCCAAAGCAUCACUGUCAGUUGACUGGGUUGGGCUAUUAGAUUGUCAUAACUUUUUAACUAUUCCAUCCAUGUUCAAAUUGGACUCAGAUCAAUUUUUCUUCUCUUUGGUUUACUUAUCAAAAAAAAAAAACUAUUCUCUUGGGUUAAAUGCUAGUCAGAAGGUUUAGAAUGGCUGUGAAGUAGCACCUACUGCACUGUUAAAAGGAGAGGGUUUAAGUAAUGAAGUAUAUUUCGGCAUCUACUGAACUUGUGAUUGAGGUGAGAGUGUCUGGUUCAAGUUGAUGUUCUGCAUGAUUGGAGAUAUCUUGUGGGGUAAAAUACUUGUCUUAUUGUGCUUUUUGGCUUUUGCUUUGGAAUCUAAUUUGGAUUCAUAAGAUUCCAUUCUUUUUUUGGCCCUGUAUGAAUCCAACUUUCUUUCCUUCUUGAGAAUCCAAAUGGGAGUUUGUUGGGUUAAAGUUUUUUUGGCAUGAACAUCGACUCAGGAUGCCUCCCUUUUAUUGAUGCUUUACUGUUAAAAGGAAGAAGCACGGAGGGAGCAAAGAAGCAAGAAAAAAAAAUUCCCCCCUACAAUGUGAGUUAGAAGAAUAAUUCCUUAUGUGGUUUUGUCAUUUGUGAAUAGAAGCAUACUGAUGUCCUGCAUUAAUAUCCGUGGGCAACAACUAACUGCUAGGAAAGUGGGUCACUCUUCUCAGUUUUAAUAGUUAUGUAUUAUUUGUUUGCUAGCCUUAUUUGGUCGAGAAUUUUUUAUGUACACAGUCCUGAAUAGAGGAUUUCAUUUAAAUAAUGUAUCUACUUUGUGUAUCAAUUUGUAGGGCUUUACGAAAGAGAUUCACUUAGAGAAAGAACGGUGGCAUGGGUAUGUUUUUCACAAAAUUAAGGUUGAUGUUGAAAUUGUUGAGUUUGUUUUUGCAUGAAGUAACUUUGGUAAGCCUUAAUUAGAUGUAUUAAGCUUUUGAAUAAAACGUAAUGCUUUCACUCUUGAAACAAAGUGGAAAAUGUUGAUGCCCUAUGAAGCACGGACACCUCUUCAGCAGCAACGUAUGGGUGUCCGACACGUGUCGGACACGGACAUGCGAUGGACGCGUGUCGGACACUCUUUAACGCUUCUAGAAUUUUUUUUUUUUUCCAAUCGGACACUUUGCGGACACACUCAGAGACACUUGAGGGACAUUGCGAGUGGAGAGAGAGAGAGAGAGAGAGAGGGAGAAGAAGUCGCUCACUUGUAAACCCUAGGUGAAGUUGUCGAAGCUUUUGAAUGUCCCUAUUGAAGCAAUCGCAGAUUCGCAGAUUUGAAAACAAUGUUGAAGCGAGUGGAGUCGGAGCAAUAUUAUGUAGCUUUUGAGAUGUUUGUUGCUGAUGUCAAGAGGAUGUUUGGUAAUGCACGCACUUACAACUCUCCUGAAACGAUCUAUUAUAAAUGCGCAAGCAG